AAGAUACCCGGGUAGUCCACGCCGUAAACGAUGGAUACUAGCUGUUGGAGGUAUCGACCCCUUCAGUAGCGAAGCUAACGCGUUAAGUAUCCCGCCUGUGGAGUACGGUCGCAAGACUAAAACAUAAAGGAAUUGACGGGGACCCGCACAAGCGGUGGAUCGUGUUCUUUAAUUCGAUGCUAAACGAAGAACCUUACCAGGGUUUGACAUCCCUUGAAUUAAUCCGAAAGGAUUGAGUGCUUUAUUGAACAAGGUGACAGGUGAUGCAUGGCCGUCGUCAGCUCGUGUCGUGAGAUGUUUGGUUAAGUCCAUCAACGAGCGCAACCCUUGCAAGUAGUUGUAUUUUUCUACUUGGACUGCCCCGGUAACGGGGAGGAAGGAGGGGAUGAUGUCAGGUCAGUAUUUCCCUUACAUCCUGGGCUAGAAACACGAUACAAUGGCUAGUACAAUGCGCAGCGAAGCCGCGAGGUGAAGCAGAUCGCAUCAAAGCUAGUCCCAGUUCGGAUUGGAGGCUGAAACUCGCCUCCAUGAAGUCGG
RNAcentral lists this ribosomal RNA (537 nucleotides) under uncultured bacterium. Its description in RNAcentral is "bacterial SSU rRNA". It matches the Rfam family "Bacterial small subunit ribosomal RNA", at positions 779 to 1329 of the family's 1533-position model. The record is from RNAcentral.